UACGAGGCAUCACAAAAUCUAUAUCAAGAUAUCCAACAUUCAGGCGCCGCUUUGAGAGUAGCAUCAGGAUUAUCUUAGAAGAACUAGCCAAGAAGAACGGUGAUAGUAGAAAAUCAGAAGAUUCAGGACCUCAAAAAGUUCCCAGGUCAAAAAGCAUGUUUGUUCGCAUGUUUAGCGAUAAAUCUUUCAAGAAAGAAGAAUGGUGAUAGUAGAAAAUCAGAAGAUUCAGGACCUCAAAAAGUUCCCAGGUCAAAAAGCAUGUUUGUUCGCAUGUUUAGCGAUAAGUCUUUCAAGAACAGAAACGGAAACAGUGAAUUUGAUCAAGAGGCUCAACUGGUAGACGCUGACAGAAAUGUUGAAAUUCAAUGAUAAUAUGUAUAUCAUUAACCAUUUUCUGGAUUUGCAUGAGAAUCCUAGUAGGAAUAGGUUAUAGGUUUGAAUGAUUUCUUCUCUGCUGUUGCUUUAGAAAUAGCAUGUGUUGUAAAAUGGCCAAAGAAGUAAACCUUCCUUUCUUUUUUAUAUUUAAGGAUAAAACCUUCUCCUUCUUUCCCUGUUUGGAGGUAAAAA
RNAcentral lists this long non-coding RNA (567 nucleotides) under Nicotiana benthamiana. Its description in RNAcentral is "long non-coding RNA (NBEN_LNC020012)". The record is from RNAcentral. Lineage: Eukaryota; Viridiplantae; Streptophyta; Magnoliopsida; Solanales; Solanaceae.